Molecule: long non-coding RNA, 9169 nt
Filed under: Brassica napus (rape)
Lineage: Eukaryota; Viridiplantae; Streptophyta; Magnoliopsida; Brassicales; Brassicaceae
Description: long non-coding RNA (BNAP_LNC009744)
Source: RNAcentral
AGAAGGCGGAUGAGUAUUGUUGGGGUUAACAUUAACUUCUUCCAUGCAAUUAUAGACAUCAUAACUUCACCAGUAUAUACUAUGUCAUUUAUUUUUGUUCCAUUCUAUUUGGGUUUAGGGUUAUAUUUGGGUUAUGAUAUAUAUUUGGGUAAGAGUUUAGUGACAAGAGUUUGUUUAUAUUUGGAGUUUAGAGUCUAGUGAUUAGGGUUUUGAUUUUAGUUUUUAGUAGGUGAGGGGUAUGGUUGGGGUCAACAUUAACUUAUUUCAUGCAAUCAUAUAUGUUUCAUAAUUUCACCAAUAUAUAUGUACUAUGCUAUGUAUUUUGUUCCAUUCCAUUUGGUUUUAGAGUUUAUAUUUGGGUUUAUGUUUUAGUGAUUAGGAUUUUGGAUUUAGUAGUAUUUAGUAGGUGAGGGGUAUGGUUGGGGUCAACAUUAACUUAUUCCAUGAAAUCAUAUAUGUUUCAUAAUUUCACUAAUAUGUACUAUGCUAUGAAUUUUGUUCCGUUCUAUUUGGGUUUAGGAUUUAUACUUGGGUUUAUAAUUUAUAUUUGGGUUUAGAGUUUAAUAAUUAGAGUUUAGUUAUUAGGGUUUAGAGUUUCGUAUUUAUGAAUUGGGGUAGUGUUUAGUAUUUAAGGAUUGUGGAUGUUGUUGCGUCCUCCUAUACUAUUUCGGUGACAUGGAAUAGAACACUACGUGCAUAUGUAUAUUACCGUAUAUUAUUAUUUUUAGAUGUUGGGGUUCGGGUAAUGUUUAGUACUUAGGUGUUGCAUAGUGAUUGAGAUUUAGGAUUCAGUAUAUAGGGGUUGAGAUAAUGUUUAGUAUUUAAGGUUAUGAGUGGAGUUAUAAUUUUAUACUAUUUCAGCGAUAUGGAAUAGAACAUUCGGUGUAUAUAUGUGGUUAAUGAACAUGUGACGUGGAUGUUUGAUAUGUGAUUAUAAACACGGUACAAAAAUAAUGACGUCGCCUACUUUCUCACUUGCAACUGGAAACCUGUUAUAAAAAGAAUAGAACCGGAUGAAAUGUGUUCAAAGAGUCUGAUAUUGAAUUAUGUCAAAAUCAAUGCUACUCAUCUAAUUUAUCACUCAAAUAUGGUUAUUUGGCCAAUAAGCCAUAUACAAAACAUUCUAAGAUACCCGUUCAAUAUGUAUAUUCAUCAUCAGUUGGAUAUAUAAUAUGUUGACUAUCCAAUUUACUAUCAUUGUAACUUUGGACUUUUGCUCUCACCUCUUUGACAUAGUUUUAACUUUUACAUACGCCAUACAAAAGGGCUAUAGCUCCUUCGCUUCUUCAGUAUUUGAGAAAACUCGAGAUCGCAUGAUACCAUCUCAAGAAUUCGAAUAUUUUCUUAUGACCACUUGUGCAAUAAAGGCAAUCUACGUGGUUCCGUUUUAGUCUUAUCGUUAUGCAUGGAAUUCGAAUAUAUUACGAUGUCAAUAAUCAAACCAAAUUGGAUUUUAUCCCCAGUGAAUAAAAUUUAUGUUAAGUCAAGGUCCCAAAAAAAUAUAAAGUCAUAGUUUUUCUUUUUCCUCUUUCAAAUGAUAUUAAUGGUGACCCAAUUUUGAUCUCAAGAGUCGUUAUUCUUGUAUCAGGAAAAAAAAAAGAAAAGAAAAGAAUACAAAACCAAGUGGUGGUAGCCUAGUGGCAAUCUCUUGGGGCUUGGUGUGUACCCGCAUCAGUCCUGGGUUUGAUUCUCUCUGGGAACUAAAUUAUCACUACUUGGUCAGUCUGGGCUUGGGCUUCGGCCCAAGUGGUUUACAUGGUGGGUCAUAACAGAUGAUUGGUCCACCCCCUGACAUUAGUCGGAAGGUAUUCCAAACUCGGGUCAGACAGUGUGGUACGCUUUCGGGCUAGUCCACUCUGUAGCACUAAGUGCGUUCCUCCCAGGCCGACCGGAUCAGCCGAAAAAAACAACAAUCAAUAACUGUGUGGUUUAGUGGUUGUGUUGCGGUUUUAUCUGGGUCUGAUGCGCGUCUGUGCUUUAUUUUUCAACAUUUACUUAACGAAUGGCAUUUCUGUAAUUAUAUCAUCUUCUUCAUCUAAUUUUUUUUAGGGUUUUCUACAACUACACAACGCGGCCGCCAUUAAUUUUCCACAAAAUCUUCAUUUUUUGCUUUUAAACAACGUUUUAACCUACAAACUUGUAGAUUUAUCAUAUUCUAAACGAUCUUUGAAUUUUAGAACAUAAAAACUAAGAAUUUCGUACUUAUCCGCCCAAUUUUCCAUUUAAUACUAAAAAUCGUUCAGAAUAUGAUAAAUCUACAAGUUUGUAGGUUAAGACAUUGUUUAAGCACAAAAAAAAAAGAAGAUUUUGUGGAAAAAAUUAAUGGCGGCAGUGUUGUGUAGUUGCAGAAAACCCUAAUGACUUUUACACGAAGAAGAUGAUAUAAUUACAGAAAUGCUAUUCGGUAAAUAAAUGUUCAAAAUUAAGGUACAUUGCGCCCAUUGAACCCAGAUUGGCUUGAUUGACAACCGUAACACAACCACUAGACCACACUGUUCUUGAUCGUUGUCGCCCACAUAAACUAUGUAUUAACAUACUUUUAUUAUUUUAAAUAAGAAACCACAUAUUAAUCUCUAAAAGACAUGUAAGCAAUCCAUUAACUCUACGUAAGCACCGUAACUAUUUGACUAACGGAAACACAGUUAAAGUAUGAAUAUACCUAAAUUUUGUUGUUCAUGUAUAAAAUUUGAAUAUAUUAAGUGUUAGUGUAUGUUAUAGCACAUGGUCCGAGUGUAUGUACUGAUCGGAACCGCGGUCCUCUAUUAAUGUAUGAAUUGGCUGAUUUUCCUAAUAUGAUCUUUGCCAACAUCACUUUCAUGGUCGGUUCUGAAAUUUUGGGAACCUAAAACAAAAUAGAAAACAUGAAGCAGUCCAAAAAAAUUAUAAGUGAAGCCGAAUAAAAAAUAUAAAAAAAGUACGAGAAAAGAGAGAGAGAAAAAAAAAGAGAAAACUUAUGUUAUUGUAAAUUAUGUUUCUUCAGUUCUAUAAACUUAAAUUUUUGAUUUACCGGGCAACUUAGUUGAUUUGUUGUUUACCCUAUUCAACUUAGUUUAAGUUACUAAAAAAAUGUGGGUUUCAUAUAAAAAUUAUUCAUAUGUAUAAUGUAUAUUAUUUUGCUUCAUGAGGGACUUGUUUUUUUUUUGUUCAACUUCUUCAUGAGGGACUAUAAAAAUUAAAGCAUGCGGUAAAUGUUUGGCCAGGGUCGGCCCUGAUCGCUCUGAAGCUACUAAACUAUCUACUCAUUUACUUUGUUUGUGGAAUACAUCCAAAUUGUGUGUUUGGUUUACACAGGAAGUAUUCACUACUUACCAUUGAUAUGUGAUUAUGAAAACGUUUUGUUUAACUAUUUUCCAGUCGUGAUUCUCUCAUAGGUUACGAUCAAUCUGUGGAUGAUGAAGAGAGCGAUCCACCAGACAAAUCUCAAGACUGAAAAGUGUGUGUGACCUUUUUGAAAGUAUAUUAUUGAUGGAUUACCUGGGAAUGCAUUUUCAUAGAAAUAGAAUCCAUUAAUUUUAAAGGCCCAAAUUUAAUUUCAUACCCUUUAGGCCUUUAGUUUAUAUUUAGUCAUGCAAAAUUUUAUAAGUGUAUAUAAGUUAAGGGCCCAGAUCUGCCUCAUAACUUGCAUUUGUAACUGGGAUAUGUAUCAUAAAUGAAUACUCAUUUUUUAAUUAUUUAUUUUAUUAAAUGAUGUAUUUGUAAAAUUCAUUCAUAUAAUAUUUAUUAAGUAAAUAUUUUUUUUUUGCAUCUUAAACUAUCUAUUUUUUACGAAUGUGUGAUAUCAUAUAAAAAAUAUAAAAAAUGAGUAUACAUAGUUAAUUAGAUAAUUGUAAAAACAUAAUUUUUUCUUUCGUUUGCGAUAUCAUAUAAAUAAUGAUCCGCCCAGUUAACAAAAAUCAUGAUUUUUUUUAUGUGUAAUUUUUUUUAUUUUGACCAUUUCAUUAAAACUAUAUUAAAUUUUACAUAUUUUAAUUAGAACUUACAAACACACGUAUUCGUACAAUAAUUAAUGAGUUUAUUAAUGAUAUUAGAACAACAUUAGGGAGAUUCUCUGCGUCAUACGAACUCCAAGAACGUUGUUUAGUAAUAAUAAUCAGAAAAUCUCUGGACUAUCGUCCUUGCACUGUUCAACAAGUAAUUGAAUAUAUGUAAAUAUAUGCUUCCAUCAAUGUAUCUAUAUAAUUAAAUAAUGAAAUGUAUUAUAAAUAUUGUUUUGUAAAUGAAAGAAAAACAGAGAUUGCGAGACAACACAUGACAUGUUUUACAAUCUGGGGUAUGGGUUGGUUUUAUCGUUAUAUGUCUUGACCGUCAACAAUGUGUGGCUCCUCCAAUCGUUUUUAACCUUUUAACCCAUACUAUGAAAUGUCCGCAACUAAUUUACUUGUGACGUGAUAAGCAUCUUCUCGUUUAAAACGNNNNNNNNNNNNNNNNNNNNNNNNNNNNNNNNNNNNNNNNNNNNNNNNNNNNNNNNNNNNNNNNNNNNNNNNNNNNNNNNNNNNNNNNNNNNNNNNNNNNNNNNNNNNNNNNNNNNNNNNNNNNNNNNNNNNNNNNNNNNNNNNNNNNNNNNNNNNNNNNNNNNNNNNNNNNNNNUGUGGCGCCGGUUAAGUUUCCGGAGCAUGGAGGCUCUUACAGAUCCAUGGCUGCCGGCUUCUGCACCCUUAGUUCCCUUCUAGGGUUUAGUUUCUGUAGUUUUUUGUGUUGUUCACUUGUUAAGUUAAGUUGGUUCGGGUUUGUUGGAUGAGUUUCUCGUCGGAGGACGAUGGAAGCUAUCCGGAGUAAAGGUUGUUGCUUGAGCGAAGCCUCCUUCUUGGUCCUCGUAUUGAACUAUGGCGGAUGAAAUCUCGGUCACGAUUGAUCCUCUCCGAGAUUAGGCGGUCCUGGGAGGUUUGGCGGUCGAGGUGAAGAAGGUGAGGAGUCUAAGUGCUCCGGUGUGGCGCGGUGAAUCGGUGGGUGAUUCUCCGGUUGUAGUUGAGAUGGAGAUGAUGGUGCGGAUCACGAGAAGGCGGCCGACAUCAGUCUUUCUCUCUUGGGCUUACGGGUUGCGGUGUUUGGAUUUUGGGCCUUCGAGGCCGUUUAAUGUAGUUGGGCUUCGGCCUUUUCGUUAAAAAAUCUUCUAGGCGGAAGCCAAAUAAAAUCUUCAAAAAGAGUAAAAAAAAAAAAGAAAUCUAUUCACUGUUCUUAAAUGACGUUUUGAAAUUUUCGUAUAAAAUGUAUAUUUUGCUAUCUUUAUUGCACACUUUGUAUCCAUGCAUACACAAUGGAUUAAUUCGACUAUAAAAUCACUCACUAACGAAUUACUGACACAUUUAUCAAGAACAAAAGAAACUACGUCAAUUUUUUUUGUUAAAGAAAAAAACUACUUACAUUCAUAUUAUAUCUUUCUUUUUUUGUCAAGGAGAUUCAUAUUGUAUUACAUCAGACUAAAUCAAAGUGGACUUUAAAAGUGGGCGUAUACCUCUAUGCACAUAAAAUAUAUGAUAUAUUUUUACCAAAAAAAAAAAUAUCGUAUAUGUGUGUAACUUUCCUUAUCACAUGGCCGGUUACUUUUCUUUUUAUUUUCUUUGUUCUAUUUAAACCUUAAAAUUCGACCCAAAAAUACAAAAUUUAAACCUUAAAUUUUUCUUUUACUAAAAAGAAGAAUUAAAACCUUAAAUUUCCAUUAGUGGAUAGCACUUAUGAGAUUAAAAUGAAUUAAUUAUCAAACCAACCAUCAAAACAAUGGGCCAAUGCAAUUUAACGGAAAUUGGACUGUAUAGCAACGAAAAAAAGCAUAUUUCACCAAAUAACCAAUUUUCCUAACUUUUCUAUACGCACCGUCAUAUAUAUAUAUAUAAUAAUACAGUAUUGUCCUUUCUUGCAACCGAUGUAAUCUGCAGAGAAAAAAAUUUAAAAUUAAUAAUUAUUAUGUGUAAAAGUAAAUCUAAUCUAUUAAAACAUGAGUACAAAGUUAGAUUACCCUUUAAUUUUUUAAUAUAUUUACGCUUUCAUACCACUGAUGUAUUAAUUAAAGCUAUAUUUAUGGAUUCUUUGUCUUUAAUGGAGUAUUAAUUGAUUUCUCCGAAAUUAAAUUUAUACUUUCCAAACAAAAACAAUGGACAUCACCCUUAUAUAUACGUUCUCUUUUAUAGUUAUUCCAUUGCUUAACAAUCAGUUAUCUCUGUCAUUUCCAUACAAAAAAAUUCACGGUAUAUAAAAAAAUUCAAAAGAUCAAUGUUCAUACUUAUAUAUUAGGUUUUCGUUAACUUUGUACCAACCAGAUAUAUCCAUGUCUCACAUUUAAGGAUAAACAACUUAACAAUUGCUAUAUAAAAUACUUCCUUCAUACUUUGACUAUCUGUAUACACCUUAAUUAUCAUGAUAAACAAUGAUUUUCACUAAUCAUCCAAUGUCAUACCUUACGGUCAAUCAACAAAAUAUUUGAAAUUAUAAUUUAUAUAAUCAUUAAAAAUAUACAUCUUCUUACACUCUCAUCCUCACAUUUUGUACAAACAAAAUUUUCACACGGUAGCCACUUGUAAUCAAUAUUAGUAUGAUUUAAUGAUUAUCAAUAUACAGCUUUUUUAGAUCCUCAUCUUUUAAUAAUAUAGAUUUCCAAAUAUAAUAAAAAAAAUAUCUUUCAAAAUAAACAAUAACUAUUUUAAAAGGCUGUUUUAAAUCCUCAUUUUUUUCCACAUCAAUACAUAUCAGGUAACCAACAGAUUUGGAAUCCAAAAUAUACGUAAACCAAAUCCUUUAAAUCCCGCAAUAUUACUUAUUAUUUUUGGUAACAAAAUAUAUUAGUUAUUUCAACAAUAUAUAAAAUUGGCCAGCAUAAUAUUUUUGGUCCUUUAACUUGGGGGUCAAUCAUCAUUUAUUCGAUUAGUUAAUAUACCGAAAUCUAACCAUAAUUGACUCAUAGAUUUCGAAAAAUAAUUAUGCUAACCAAUUUUUAUAUAUUGUUGAAAUAACUAAUAUAAAUAUUGAUUAUUUAUAUUGAUUAUAUUUUUUCUUAAAAUUAAGACCAUAUCUAAUUAGAAACUAUUUAAAUAUAAUUGAUACUUUCAUUUUUUUAAACAAAUCUUAAUCCACAUUUUUAUAUCUUACCAUAGAAGUUGCAUAAAUAAAAUAUUCUUCAAAAAAACUAUUGUUGAAUCAUAUAUCAACUUCGUAAACCAUACUAACUCGCACUUCUCUCUUUCUUCAUAUUUUAAUUUCAAAAAUUUGUUUUCUAUAUAUCUCAUGUAAAUACAUAACUCUCUUUAUUUAUAUUUUUUAAUUUAUUUAUUUGAUACUAAAUAUCGGUAAUACAAUAGACUGUAAACACACACACUAAAAUUACUCAAUGUUAUACGACUAACUAUUGAAAAUUCAUCAUUUAUUAUAAACUAAAAACUAAAAAAAUAUAUAUAUAUAUAUCCGCGCGGUUGCGUGGGUCAAGGUCUAGUUAUGGCUUAAUUGUCUUCACAUCUUAGAAAAAGCUUGCGAGACGAUGUGUCACACUUGAAGUGAAGAAUGAGCAAUCUGAGCCUCUUUUCCUUCUCAGAUUUGUGGGAUGAAAUAGUAUUGUCUAUGUUGAUGGUGAAGAGUUGUAGUGGAUAAUAGAGUUUCAAAGACUCAUGUGGUGUCUGCACAAAAGUUGAUCGGAGAAGAUGAACUGUAUAUAUUCUGCUACUAUGUUAUUUUAUUAUGUUCCAUUUCAUAUGAUUGUUACUAAAAAUGCUUUAUUUUGUUUAGAAAUAUAGUUUUUAAUUUUUUAAAGUUCUUGUUACAUGUUUUUGAACAUGUAAAAAUCUCACUAUGAUCUAUAUUGUAUAUUUUAAUAUUACAUAAUAUAGUUUAAUAUUACAUAAUAUAAAGUACUUUUUAUAUUUUGAUAUUUGGGUUUAGAUUUUAUAUUUAGGUUAGGUUUUAGUUAUUAUAGUUUAGCGUUUAGUAUUUAGAAGGCGAAGGGGUAUUGUUGGGGUUAACAUUAACUUCUUCCAUGCAAUUAUAGACAUCAUAACUUCACUAGUAUAUACUAUGUCAUUUAUUUUUGUUCCAUUAUAUUUGGGUUUAGGGUUAUAUUUGGGUUAGAAUUUAUAUUUGGGUAAGGGUUUAGUGAUUAGGGUUUUGGUUUUAGUAUUUAGUAGGUGAGGGGUAUGGUUGAGGUCAACAUUAACUUAUUCCAUGCAAUCAUAUAUGUUUUAUAAUUUCACCAAUAUAUAUGUACUAUGCUAUGUAUUUUGUUCCAUUCUAUUUGGUUUUAGGGUUUAUAUUUGGGUUUAUGGUUUAGUGAUUAGGAUUUUGGAUUUAGUAUUUAAUAGGUGAGGGGUAUGGUUGGGAUCAACAUUAACUUAUUCCAUGAAAUCAUAUAUGUUUCAUAAUUUCACUAAUAUGUACUAUGCUAUGUAUUUUCUUCCAUUCUAUUUGGGUUUAGGAUUUAUACUUGGGUUUAUAAUUUAUAUUUGGGUUUAGAGUUUAAUAAUUAGAGUUUAGUUAUUAGGGUUUAGAGUUUCGUAUUUAUGAAUUGGGGUAGUGUUUAGUAUUUAAGGAUUGUGGAUGUUGUUGCGUCCUCUUAUACUAUUUCGGUGACAUGGAAUAGAACACUACGUGCAUAUGUAUAUUACCGUAUAUUAUUAUUUUUAGAUGUUGGGGUUCGGGUAAUGUUUAGUACUUAGGUGUUGCAUAGUGAUUGAGAUUUAGGAUUCAGUAUAUAGGGGUUGAGAUAAUGUUUAGUAUUUAAGGUUAUGAGUGGAGUUAUAAUUUUAUACUAUUUCAGCGAUAUGGAAUAGAACAUUCGGUGUAUAUAUGUGGUUAAUGAACAUGUGACGUGGAUGUUUGAUAUGUGAUUAUAAACACGGUACAAAAAUAAUGACGUCGCCUACUUUCUCACUUGCAACUGGAAACCUGUUAUAAAAAGGACAGAACCGGAUGAAAUGUGUUCAAAGAGUCUGAUAUUGAAUUAUGUCAAAAUCAAUACUACUCAGCUAAUUUAUCACUCAAAUAUGGUUAUUUGGCCAAUAAGCCAUAUACAAAACAUUCUAAGAUACCUGUUCAAUAUGUAUUCAUCAUCAGUUGGAUAUAUAAUAUGUUGAAUAUCCAAUUUACUAUCAUUGUAACUUUGGAUUUUUGCUCUCACCUCAUUGACAUAGUUUUAACUUUUACAUACGCCAUACAAAAGGGCUAUAGCUCCUUCGCUUCUUCAGUAUUUGAG